This 5708-nucleotide long non-coding RNA is filed under the name Capsicum annuum. RNAcentral describes it as "long non-coding RNA (CANN_LNC005590)". Lineage: Eukaryota; Viridiplantae; Streptophyta; Magnoliopsida; Solanales; Solanaceae. The record is from RNAcentral.
CCCAUUUUGGACUUAACCUCUAUAAAUAUCCUAUAACCCUAACCUCUCUCAUUUUACUCCUCCAAGCGCCGCCAUCCUAUUCCCCAAACAUUAAAAAUUCUCUCAACUAAUCCUGAGUUAAUCUUAUUUAUUUUUCAAACAAGAUAAGUUCUAAAACUCUUCAAUUUGGUGGUAGUUUUGAUAUCAUGGGUAUGAUUACGUGGUGUUAUUUCUACUCUUAUUUUAUCCAUAGCCCUUUUGUACUGCAUCUUGCGCAUAAAAAUUCUUAUGCAUCAUUAGUAGUUGUCGUUGUGCUCGUGUUGUUAGUUGUUGAAUUGAUUAGUUAUUGCUUCAUUAAGUUGCCUUAGGGGAUAUCGACGGGGCUUUACUAAUUUGAGGGUAUGUAGUUCAAGUUAAAGUGUGGGGUGGGGCGAGUUCUUUGUACUUUCUAUAUAUACAAUUGGGCUUCGAUUCAUGAAUGUUGUUUUAGUCUAAAUACAUAGAUAGAGGAUGUAUCUACCAAAACAAAGGUUACUUGCUCUUUUUGUGCUUGAUUAUGUUAAUUAUUACAUGCAACAUCGAGAUUGAUGUCGUAUCGCAAAGGGAAGUCUGAGUACCUACUGUGAUAAUUCUGAAAUGCUACGCACAUAAUCGAGCUUGCACUAUCUUGUUCACCUUACUAAUUAGUAACUGAAUUACAUAAUGGUAUGUUCAAAGUGGAUUGAUCUUAACCGAAUUGUUGAACUAGACAUUCUUUGACCAUAUACUAUGUGGCCUAUGAUUGAGUAAUUGGUUAGCAUAGAUUAGUUGUUGUUAAGUUAGUUGACGCCCUUUUAACUGUGACAUUUUCUGUUAUGCACUUUCUACUAUCGUUAGAAUUAAGUAUGGAACUAUUGAAAUACAGUCUAGGUACACUUGCACAAUGUAGUAAAAUUGGAGUACUCUUAUUAACCUAUCCUGUAAUAUGAGUAGCAUCGAUAACAACAAAGUGUUAGGUGGCGUUUUCACUAGUCCAAAUGUAGUGAAGUUAGCAUGCUCUAAGCCAUAUUGAAAUGUCUUUGUUGCCUAUUUUAAAUCUCAGGAAUUAUGAAUCGAAGGAAACUAGGACUAAAUGGAAAAUCAAGGACUUCAAAGUCAGCGAGGAAAUGCAGCAGACCAGCUGCGAGGCAAAUUAAUAGAGUGCCCCAUGCUCCUCCAGUCCUACAUGGUCAAACACGUAGAUUUGGGUUUAAGGAAGUUAGGCAAGACGGAAAGCAAUGGCACUCCAAACACCUCGACACCAAAUACAUACCUAAGAUGUUUAUUGAUAGUGUAAGUCUAUAGAGAAAAUGACCAAGUAUGGUAAGUCAUCUGGAGCAGCUGAACAUAGUUUUCAUUUUCCACUAGCUGCGUGAAUGCAAUUUGCAUCUUGUGCAUGAGUUUUAUGCAAAUUAGGACCCAAGGGAUGUACAUCAUGAGGUGAAAGUUCAUGGUAAAAUCGUCAUAUUUACUUUAGAGGACAUCAAUGACUUGUUGGGAAUACCUGAGGCAGAUGUACAUUAGUUAAAAUAGUUGAUUAUCACUCUGAAUUAUGCUUACAAUCUACAUCUGUUGUGUGGUACUCAUUCAUUAGCCCGAUAGACUAGACAAAAGGGCACAGGUCUUCAUUCCUCAUUACCAUAUGCAUAGAUGAACAAGGAAGCUCGCAUAUGGGGAUGAAUUAUGCACUAUUUCCUAAUUCAAGGCAAGCAUAUGACUGAGGUUACACAUAAACGGGUAUGUUUGACUUACGCUUCAUAGUGUAAUGAUGUUGCAAUGAAUGUAAUCCAUGUCAUAUUUUCUGCCAUAAAAAAGGCACGCUUCAUUGAGAGAUACUGAUAUGGAUUUGGAGGCUUAUUGACUAAGUUCAUAAGGUGGCACUAGGUAGAGAAGAAGGAAUUAGAUUAUAAGGCUAUAAUAGAUAACCACCCUAUUGAUUUUACUAGAGCCAAGAGCACAGCUGGGCCCUUAGGACCAAUUCUUACUAUGGCCGAGUGUCAAAAUUAGACUGAUGAAAUCAUGUCUAGAACAUACAAUUUUUAGAUGUUGUACAUGAGGCUUGGGGGAAGAGCAACCACAGAUGAAGAGAUUCAUGUUGUUGACUUGGAUUACCCGCUCGGUCAUCACGCCAAGACAUUGCUGAGGAUUGGACCAGAGUUUAUGGAACCGACAGAUAAUGAUAUACCUACCAAUGAAGACAGACAGUGGCAUGACUUAAAUAUUGAGUCUAAUAUUGAUGAUUAGUCUGAGGAUGUUGAUGGACAGGAUGAUAUUGAUGCAUCUAAUAAUGGUGAUGCAACACAAGUUGACAUGGCUGAUGCCUAGGUUUGCACAUACAAAGAUAGUGCUCUUCCUACGUGUGGGGUGGUCUUGCACCCUCUUCCCUUUUCCUUUUGUCUCUUGAUGUGUGAGAAAAAUCUAACAUAUUUAAUGCUUUUUAGCUCAAAAUAAUUGUGAAUUCUGAAGCAACUCUUGUCGUUUUGAUGUGUUUUCUCAUGAUAUUGCAGUAAAAGGCUGAAGGAAUGGAAAUAAACGAUAAUGGAGAAAAAAAGUUGAAAAUCUGAGCAAAAGAGAAGAAAACAUGACUGACGACAUCCGUGAUAAGUCGUCAGCCUUGUGAUAGACUAUCAGAAGCGGCGUCAGCCUUAACUAGGGACUUGAGUCUGAGAGAAAGUUCUGACAACAUUGGUAAUAAGGCGUCAAGAUAGUGAUAAGGCAUUACAAAUGUCGUCAGCCUUAGCCAGAGAAUCAGAGCUCAAAGAAGAAAUCUGGCGACGCUGGUGAUAUGCCGUCAGAUCAAUGACACGACAUCAGCUACAUCGUUAGCCUAAGAUAGAUUUUGAAGACAGCUGGAGCAACCCUGAUGCCAUCCAUGAUAAGGCAUCAGAUCCUUGACAUGGUGUCAUCUAGUGCGUCACCUAAUCCGAAGAACUUAUGAUUUUUGUUAUUUUAUUUCCAUAAUUAGACUUAAGUAUAAAUAACAUCUUUUAGGGUUUAUUGAGGAGUUCGGUUCUUUUUAGAGAGCAGAUUAUUUUUUAUCCUAAGACUUAGAGAAAAAAACAUUAUUCUUCAUUGUUUCUUUUCCUCAACACUUAUCAAUUAUUGUAGAUUUCUCUUUCGUGAUUGAAUUGAAGAAACAACUUGUUGCUUUUCAUCUGUUCGUAAGUUUAUCAUUAUUAUCAUGAAUUCAACUUGUUAUUUUGUUCAUCAAAUCAUGAGUGGCUAAUUUCAUUAGCCAGAACUAUGGGAUCCAUGGAUUAGGGUUUUAUAGGUUACUACGUAUUUAACGGAUUCAAAAAGUAGCAGAACGUCUUGAAAUUCUAUUAUUUUAACUGAAAUCUAUUGGUUACAAACAUUAGAUUAUGCCUUAGGUUUUAUUUGCUUCUAAUGGAUAAAUAGACUAGAGGUCAUGAAUUAUCAAUAGGGACUCGGAAGCUACGAACCUUCUGUUUAAUGAUCAAUGUCGUAACUGGAUUAAUCUACCUGAGAUAAAAUCAUAUUGGAAAUUGAUAAGUUAUCCAAGUCUGAGAGAAUUUGAUAAUAAAUUGUCUGGUGAGGUCGAGAGAUAAGCCAGAUGGUAUCAUCAUCAGGGAUAUUCUGUUGUUUCUACUUACUUCAAGAAUGUCAAGAAUCACUUAGUAUCUGUUAAUUCCCAAAAUCCAUGGUGAACAUAACUCUGGUUUCCCAUUUAGAUUGAUUACACACUUUAAAAUAUUAGAAGUGACAAUUAACUCACUGUGAAAAUUAAACCCCCAUUUUUGGAAACAUUAAACUACCAGUAAAGUAUUUCAUAAACAAAUUGAAGUUCACACCCUAUUACCUGUGGGAUUCGCCCCCAACCUAGUUGGGUUUUAUAUUUACAACGAUCGCUUACACCCAUUCAAGAGUGUAAUUUGAGCGCUAUCAUCUCUUUAUUUUUGUUAAUUGUGGUUAAUGGUGUGUUGGAUAUUAGUAUUUGUGUUGGAUAUUUUUCUUUUUUCUUUUUUUUCAAUGGUUAGUUAGUUCAACGGUUAAUAGGUUGGAAUUUGCUUUUUAGUAUUUAAUAGUUGUUUUUAUGUAUUUUUUCCCUAGUUGGAAAAACAAAAUAAAUAGUUAGCCUUUAGAAGCUGCAAAUGAUAAGAUCUAAAUUAUUACAACUUUUGAAGAUUUCUAUGUGUUGGGACAUUUUUAUAAUGAAGGACAAAACAAGUUAUUUUUAGAUGCCAAAUAUUAACAGGGAAACAAGAAUUGUUGGCUUAAUGUGGAAGUUGACAAAGAACAGGACUGAAAACAUUGAGGAUCUGGCUAGAUUCUUAGCAUGCAUCGAGUGUGUGAGUAUUUGUUCAUAUUCAACAGGUAAAGGAAUGACUAGAACUUUCCCAGAAAGAAGCGAAAUAAAUAGUGUUGGGUGUAGGAAUGAUUUAGGCAAUUCCUUUUGAAUCUAAUGUUCAAGACUUUAUAUGCCUACCCUUAUGCAUGUCCCAAGUUAACCCUGUUGAGCCUAUAGCCAGAUUUCGUUGGUAGCCUCAGUUGUAGCCUAGUCACUUCUUUGAUAUACCUUGACUCAAUCCAAAGCUCCUAAGCACUUUAACAUAAAGGACUAAAUAGGAAGGUUUUUAAAAUCGAAGGAGAAAGGUGAAAGUGAAGCCCUAAGAAAAUAUUCAUUGUGUGUCUAAAUUUUGAUGAGUAGGAGUUACAGACAAUAUGAAAGAAAUUACAGUUUUUAUUUUGCAGUUUUUACUGCCCGGUUUUUUAUUACAAUGAACCUGUUUUGGUCCUGGUUCAUUUAGGACAAUGUGCACCUCAACCAUAACAAAUAGAUUUUGUUGACGGUGGCUACUAUAAGGGUGCGUAACAAUAAAGGGCAUGUGCAGAAGAGCUUAGAAUUGCUUUGUCAUUUAAAAGAAAAGUACUCUUACUAGAGUUUUUUUUAAUAACAAAACAAAAUUAGGGUGAAACAAUUAAUGUAGGAAGGUAAUGAAGUGGAAUUAUGGCUGAUAGAAUGUUAGUUCGAGUAGGUUGUCAGAUAUUAAAGAGCUUAGGGAGAUUAGUCACUAUUUCCCAAAUAGCUCCUACCCGUCCCAUAGGCUACAUUACAACCUUAGAGAAAAGCUAAUUGGUCGUAUGUUUCAAUAUUUGACUAUUACUAGAGUAUUACACUAAGGGCAAUCUUAUGGUUCAUCUUCUAUCCUAUAGAAAUUCUUUGUCGAGAGUGAGUGGUUGAACAUUGAUACUCCCCUCAUGAGAAAUAUUAAAAAAAUAUUGAGAGUGCUCUGAGGAACUUUAUUGUUGUGCGGGUGCAUGCGGAGGUAAGUCCAGAUUACUUAUUGUCAUUUCAUUGAGUUAUUUGGUUGAAUUUGCUAACAAUUUGAAUGUCACUAUUUAGAAGUUAAGAUUUGAAACAAAUUGUUCAUGUGUAAAAGAGUAUUGUUAAUGCAGUGUGUAGAUGUCCAAUGCUAAGCAUGACUCAUAAGUUGUGAUUAGGAGAUUUAGGGAUUGUGUUUUUUCAAGUUGUUCAAGGACGAACAAGAUUCAAAGGGCGGGGUGGUGAUCUUAGGCAUGUUUAUACGUCAAAUCACAAAUAUUAACCCAUAUUAUGACUUGUUCUAAGAGUUAAGUUAUGCUACUUUGAUAAUAUGAAAUCUCUAAUUGUGUUUCAUAUCUAAUGGACAUGAUUAGUGUGCGCAGGAUUGAAUUUUGAUGAAAUUGACUUUGAUUGGACACAGUAAAGA